CUCACAUUCCAGUUCAUUUUGAGUUUUCAUGAAACUCUUCAUUCUGGAAAACAGACUGGACACCUCAUGACAAUAGGUUCUUGGUGGCACAGUUGUCUUUGCCAGCCUGCAGUAGAUUUCUUCAUCAGUACAAUUCAGACUGGCCUUUUCCUGUUCACUGAGAAGACCUCCCAUCAAUACAUGGAACAAAUAUACAAUUGGGCUCCAACAGAAAUCUUCCGAGGAGGAGUCAGUCCAAAAGGAGAGAUGAUGACGACUGGAGGGAUGACUUUUUUGAGAGGGCUAUGCCUUGCUUGA
RNAcentral lists this long non-coding RNA (297 nucleotides) under Crocodylus porosus (Australian saltwater crocodile). RNAcentral's name for it is "lncRNA (ENSCPRG00005002581.1)". The record is from RNAcentral. Lineage: Eukaryota; Metazoa; Chordata; Crocodylia; Crocodylidae.